This 279-nucleotide ribosomal RNA is filed under the name uncultured bacterium. RNAcentral's name for it is "partial 16S ribosomal RNA". It matches the Rfam family "Bacterial small subunit ribosomal RNA", at positions 506 to 784 of the family's 1533-position model. The record is from RNAcentral.
UGCCAGCAGCCGCGGUAACACGGGGGGCGCAAGCGUUAAUCGGAAUUACUGGGCGUAAAGCGCGCGUAGGCGGAAUGUUAAGUCUCAUGUGAAAGCCCUGGGCUCAACCUGGGAACUGCAUGGGAUACUGGCAUUCUGGAAUACAGUAGAGGGAGGUGGAAUUUCAGGUGUAGCGGUGAAAUGCGUAGAUAUAGGAAGGAAUACCGGUGGCGAAGGCGGCCUCCUGGACCAAUACUGACACUGAGGUGCGAAAGCGUGGGGAGCAAACAGGAUUAGAUA